UCCCCGGUGGCUCAAUGGUAAAGAAUCUAUCUGCAAUGCAGGAGACACAGGUUUGAUCCCUGGCUUGGGAA
RNAcentral lists this transfer RNA (71 nucleotides) under Ovis aries (sheep). It matches the Rfam family "tRNA". From Rfam's summary of the family: Transfer RNA (tRNA) molecules are approximately 80 nucleotides in length. Lineage: Eukaryota; Metazoa; Chordata; Mammalia; Artiodactyla; Bovidae. The record is from Rfam by way of RNAcentral.